This 916-nucleotide long non-coding RNA is filed under the name Mus musculus (house mouse). RNAcentral describes it as "long non-coding RNA chr16:24532038-24532954". The record is from RNAcentral. Lineage: Eukaryota; Metazoa; Chordata; Mammalia; Rodentia; Muridae.
AUCAUUCACUUUAGUUAUUUUUCCAGGAAUUUUUUUUUCUUUCAGUCCUUGCUUAUUUUUCCAUGAACUUUAGAAUAAACUUGUCUAGCUCUAAAAAUAAUUCUCUCCUGAUAUUUUUGUGGGAAUUGCUUUCCACUUACUCUGAAACCAAGUAAACUGUGCGUUGUAAUAUGUGAGUUAUUUCUCUGUUUUUAAAACCUUUUUGUGAUGCUAAGAUUGUACCCAGUGUCACAUGAUUGCUAGGCCAGUGUUUUACAGCUGGGCACUGUCCCCAUGAAAUCUGGCAUGUUCUUAGGAGCAUGUACAUAUUUCUUCACAUAGACCUUGAGUAUUUCCUGUAUGUUUACCUUUCUAGGAAUUUCUGCCUGCUAUAAUUAAAAUGAUGCAAUCUACUAUUUAAUUGUAUGUAUGUAUGUAUGUAUGUAUGUAUGUAUGUAUGUGUUAAGCUGUGAAUUCUGUAUAUUGAGUUUCUUCCAAGUCAUUUUAUCAAAUUUUUACUUUACUUGAGUAUUUUAAGGUGAUCUCUUUAUGUUGGGGCUAUCACAUCAUCUGCCCCAAACUCUUAAUUUACCUUUCUCUCUGUACCUUUAGAAUGCUGCAGGUUGGCUCUAGUCCUGUUGCUGUCUCUAGAAGAAUAUGCUUACUGCCUGCCUUAAGAGUGAGAGUAAACAUCCUGUUACACUUGACUUCAGUGGACAUGUUAUUAAUUGUGGUGGUGGCUUCUGGCAUAUAUAGCAUGUAAAAAACAUGCACACUUAUUUUGAGAGUUUUUAUUUUAAAACUGAAGCUGAUCUGAAAUGCCUAUCUAAAUCUUUUUUAGAUUUUUUUCAUGUAAAAAUGGAAAUCAUACAUUUCAAAAAAUGGCUAUUUUUUUAUUCUGUACAUUUGCUGUGAUAUAUAAAUAAAACUUCAAAUA